RNAcentral lists this long non-coding RNA (208 nucleotides) under Malus domestica (apple). RNAcentral describes it as "long non-coding RNA (MDOM_LNC016201)". Lineage: Eukaryota; Viridiplantae; Streptophyta; Magnoliopsida; Rosales; Rosaceae. The record is from RNAcentral.
CUGACCAUCCACCUCCACUAUAAAUUCAGGUUUCCUAACUUUUGUUCGCAGCUCAACAGUGCAUGUGAUUCAAUUUAAUUUUUGACAUGACAUUGACGUUUUGAGGUGAUGGUCCCUAAAAUCUAUUAAUAUAUGUUGUUCUCCAAGAAAAAAAAAAAGAAUUUUAACAAAAAAAUUUCGAUAUUGUUUAUUCAUAUUUUUACUUUAA